Toxotes jaculatrix (banded archerfish) is the source of this 785-nucleotide non-coding RNA. The record is from the annotation of a RefSeq genome assembly. NCBI's taxonomy places the organism in Eukaryota, Metazoa, Chordata, Actinopteri, Toxotidae.
UCCAACCCUGCUCACCUCUCAGCUGGACAGUAAGGGACGUUUACAUCACACACUGACAACAUGCUGGGGACCCUCUGCACUCUCAUCACUGCUCUGACAUAUGUUGAUGCAGUGAUAGUGGUGACCCAGACCCCUGCUGUCCACACAGUUUCUACAGGACAAGAAGUUGUUCUUAACUGUAACAUUGAAAGAUAUGAUACUGCUUCUGUCAGUUGGUAUAAACAGGUUCCUGGCAAAGCUCCUCAGUUUGUUCUGAAAUUUUUUUAUGGGGACAAUUCACUAAACUUUGGAACAGGAUUCUCCUCAGACCGCUUCAACUCUAAAUACUCAUCAAACAUAGAUUACCAGUUCAUCAUUAAGCGGGCAGAGGCAGGAGACUCUGCUGUCUAUUACUGUAAAGGAUGGGACAACUCUGCCAAGGAGUACAUAUCACAGUGAUUCACACUAUAACAAAAACCUCCUCAUAAAAACUUCUGCUUAAUACAACACUUCACAAUUCAGAACACCACCUGAAAUGUGCUAUUGCUCCCUACUGACUCCAGGUUCCCAUUACUUUGACCAACAUCAAACUUAAACAUCAGAAAAACUGUAACAAAACAUCAAAGGACACUAAAUAAACUCGUCUACAGACAGGAUAAGAGAAGAACUGCAACAGUGUUUUGGAAAAUGAGAAAACUGAUGAAGUGAAUGAGAUGUUGACAGUGAAAGUUGGUCUCAACAGGAUGUUUCAGUUCCACUCCCCUCAUCAGUGAGAGUCAGGAGGUUUUUGUACAGCCAUGUGUACA